GCCGGAAUAGCCGACGGAGCUUGUGACGUCGGAAUUGAGAUACGCGUA
RNAcentral lists this small RNA (48 nucleotides) under Sinorhizobium meliloti 2011. RNAcentral's name for it is "putative ncRNA". The record is from RNAcentral. Lineage: Bacteria; Pseudomonadati; Pseudomonadota; Alphaproteobacteria; Hyphomicrobiales; Rhizobiaceae.